Long non-coding RNA from Macrobrachium nipponense, 360 nucleotides. RefSeq lists it as uncharacterized. The record is from RefSeq and is a predicted model, not a curated record. NCBI's taxonomy places the organism in Eukaryota, Metazoa, Arthropoda, Malacostraca, Decapoda, Palaemonidae. The transcript is spliced from 2 exons.
GGCAAUGCUCGAGGCGGUUUUUGGAAGCCCCGUGAUUCGAAACCAACCAGUAUCGCUCUCAGUCGGCUGCGAGACGUGAUCUCGGACAGAGGUCAAAUUGCCAGCCUCCCAAAAUUAGGCCUACCCACGACGCACUGGUGGACACGAACCCCAGACCUGAACAGAGGUCGGACCGCAUUCUUCUACAAGGAUACACAGAAUAUUGCAUAAAGAUUCCCUGAGCCACGUGUCAUGUCUCUGCCCGCAAGUGUUGCAUUACCCAAGUGUAUGAAAACCAGCUAUAACGGCUCAACGGAGCCAUCAUUUACCUUUUCUCCAGCCCAGCACGGGCCUUUUAGUAAAUAAAUAGUUGUUAAGUAA